This 430-nucleotide long non-coding RNA is filed under the name Brassica napus (rape). RNAcentral describes it as "long non-coding RNA (BNAP_LNC017892)". The record is from RNAcentral. Lineage: Eukaryota; Viridiplantae; Streptophyta; Magnoliopsida; Brassicales; Brassicaceae.
UAUUAUACAGGUUACUUGAAAAAAAUUAUAAAGAAAAGAAAAUUUAAAUGAAAAAUGGAAAAGAAAAAUAGAAAUAAAAAUAAAAUUUUCAAUAACAGUAGUUAGAUAUUUUAAAUUAUUAAAAAUAAUGUUGUAAUUAAGCAUUAUAAAACUUAACGUCAGCACGACACGUAAAAAAAACUGAUUUUUCAAAUAAUAAUAUAGAGAACGAUGUAGUUGGACUAUAACUUUUUGAAUUUAAAUCAUUUUAUGUAACAAUGUUAAUUUUUUUUUUGUCAACUUACAAUGUUAAAUAGAAACAUAUUUCACUAUGAAACAUAUUUGAAAUUUUAUAAUUGCUUAAAUAUUUAUGGCAUGGUAGAAACUAAUCACCGAAAAUCCUUUUAUCAUUCAUUUUUGUACUCAUUCAUUUUUGUUAUAACUAGGAGUA